Molecule: long non-coding RNA, 254 nt
Filed under: Populus tremula
Lineage: Eukaryota; Viridiplantae; Streptophyta; Magnoliopsida; Malpighiales; Salicaceae
Description: long non-coding RNA (PTRE_LNC002841)
Source: RNAcentral
CACAGCCCUCACCUUCACUCUCCCCUCUCAGCCGUUCCUCUGGACAACCAUCAACCCGGAACUUUCCCUCUCAGCUGCAGGAGCAAGGGACGAACCGAACGGAGACCAUAGCAGCCUCCUCUGCAAUCUUCUUCCUUCACCGGCCAUCGCUGCUCUCUUCUCUUUCCCUCUCUCCCACCAAGACGACCCAGCAGCAGCUCCUCCACCACGCACGGCUGCACCCGCAGCUUCGGCCUCCAGCCUUGAGCCACUCC